Molecule: long non-coding RNA, 475 nt
Filed under: Sus scrofa (pig)
Lineage: Eukaryota; Metazoa; Chordata; Mammalia; Artiodactyla; Suidae
Description: lncRNA (ENSSSCG00070030416.1)
Source: RNAcentral
AUGAGCUGUUUGCAUUAGUUUAUCAAGCAAGCACAGCAGUGGACAUAGAUUAAUAGAUUGUGAUGCAGAAAAAAAAAGGAAAGUAGGUUAUUCUCUGUAGGGGAGUGGGUCUCUUCCCAGUGACCCCACCACUGCCUCUGGAAACAUUCUCUGCCAGAGCUGGAAAAGAUUCUCCUGCGUCCUUGCUUCGGAUUAGCCAAGCCUGAAGUUUGGAUCCUUCCCCUGGCUACCAGGAGCUGGGAAGUGGACUAUGAAGAAUCUCUCAUCUGCUGCUCGCUCAGCCUGUUUUCAGCAAUAUUAUCAGUCCUACACACCACAUCCAUUAUUUCAUGUGGCUUCUACCCUUUUACUCUGCUGCACAAAAAUAGGGAAAUCUCCUUUUUGUCCUUCAAACCUACCACAUGGUUUGGCUGCUUUUACCUGGUACACAUUUGAAUCAGGCCCAACUACAAUUGUGGGAGGUGAUAUCUGUUGA